Molecule: long non-coding RNA, 534 nt
Organism: Ochotona princeps (American pika)
Lineage: Eukaryota; Metazoa; Chordata; Mammalia; Lagomorpha; Ochotonidae
Exons: 4
Source: RefSeq, a predicted model, not a curated record
AUUUGAAUCUUGCUUACAUUGGAGCUUCCAAGAUGCUCAUGUUCUGCAAGAGAAGCUUGGGUAUAUGGUGUCCCCAGAUCUGCUAGAAAUCCACACACUUGAUGUGCUUGGUUCCGGGCUUCCAUGUCAUCAUUGUGUUGCAGACUGAUUCUUCUCUAAGGUACAAGAAAAACUCUGCAACCAUGUUAACUGGCCCUAGAAGUUUCCACAUUUUACCCUGAACGUCUGCUCUGUUGUCAAUGAGAAUAAGGCUGUGGACCACACUUGCAGCACAGGCGUCUGAGAAUCCUUCCAAGCCAGCCUCACCAUGGUGCAGUGUGAAGUAGUCUGACCCCAGAGUACUCCCCAAAGCCUGAAGGUCUUUAGAUGCCGUUUUUGUCUGAAGUAACUGCCAAAAUUCCAGGGAAUCAUCAUAGUGCCUCUCGCCAUCUAGAUGGAAGUCACUAAAUCCAGCCUAUACUCAAGACAGAUAGAGAAUUAAGCUCCACUUCCUGGACCUGAAUAAUAAUGAUGAUAAUAAUACCCAUCAGUAGU